This 30-nucleotide non-coding RNA is filed under the name Mus musculus (house mouse). The record is from RNAcentral. Lineage: Eukaryota; Metazoa; Chordata; Mammalia; Rodentia; Muridae.
UGGCGAUCCCUUACUUCCCAUUUUAAACGC